Molecule: ribosomal RNA, 404 nt
Filed under: uncultured Alcaligenaceae bacterium
Lineage: Bacteria; Pseudomonadati; Pseudomonadota; Betaproteobacteria; Burkholderiales; Alcaligenaceae
Description: partial 16S ribosomal RNA
Rfam family: Bacterial small subunit ribosomal RNA
Source: RNAcentral
CCUACGGGAGGCAGCAGUGGGGAAUUUUGGACAAUGGGCGCAAGCCUGAUCCAGCCAUGCAGCGUGCGGGAAGAAGGCCUUCGGGUUAUAAACCGCUUUUGGCAGGAACGAAACGGCGCUCGCUAAUACCGGGCGCUAAUGACGGUACCUGCAGAAUAAGCACCGGCUAACUACGUGCCAGCAGCCGCGGUAAUACGUAGGGUGCAAGCGUUAAUCGGAAUUACUGGGCGUAAAGCGUACGCAGGCGGCCAGGUAAGAGAGGUGUAAAAUCCCCGGGCUUAACCGGGGAACUGCAUUUGUGACUGGAUGGCUAGAGUUUGUCGGAGGGGGGUGGAAUUCCACGUGUAGCAGUAAAAUGCGUAGAGAUGGGGAGGAACACCGAUGGCGAAGGCGGCCCCCGGGGA